CGCGGAAGCAUCACGGGAUUGUUGUCAAACGCAGGCGUACGAAGGCAGGUACCAACAGACAUGAAUGGAGAGGAAUUCUCUUAAGUCGGAGAGAGUAAAGAAAAAAUUAAGAUAAUUACCUGUACGGACGACGAGAGGUGCAUUUUAAAGAGGGAGAGACAGAGAAGGAGAAAGAAGGGUGCGAAUUUCAGACUGCGUGGUAGGGGCAAACAGCACAGAAUGUGGUCGACAUGUUAAGCUAAGAGAUAGAUCUACAGUUUCAGGAGCUGAGGCCCCGUGCACUGCAGGAUGGAUUUCAUGCUCUGGAUGGUCAACGCACAAGGGCCGGCCUUAGGAUCUUGCAGAAUAUGGAAGGAGGUUUCUCGACACAACAUCUGAGGUAUCAUCAGGAGUGCUGAUGUCACAUUUGAGGGACUUCGUAUUGCAGAGUUCGGGAUUUUGCCGAGCACGUAUCUGGCAUUUUGAAGCAAAGCGAGAAGGAGUUUAUAAUCUUUUCAUAAAACUGCUGUCAAAGUCCACAUUAACAUCCGUCUGGAACCGGAGUCGUUGAUUGCUUUUUCACUUUAGCCUUGCUGUUUCCUCACAGUGGUGUGCUGGUGUGCAGCUGCUGCCUUACAGCAACUCUGAGGAGACACAGUACCUCAGAUUCAGAAUCAAAGUAACCAUCUCAACGAAAAUGAUGUCAUCGUCCAUCACAAUGUUUAACAGUGGACAUCGUAGCCAUCGUGAUAUUCCAAUUUGGCAGACACUGGCAAACCUUAUCUUGAUGUCUUGUGUGAAUUACCUGGUCAUGUUGCCACAAAAACACCUGGAUGUUAACCUAAUGUUUUGAAAAAAUACCCGGUUUACCAGACACCUGGAAAAGGUCCAGGCGUCCUGCUAAACAUAGCUGGUUUUGCCAAUUGAAAUGUGAAGCAAGCAGUGGUUUCGGAUAGUGGUCUCUACCUUCGCAGCUGUUGAACCUUUAUAUUUCUUUGCAUUUCUUUAUGUUUUAGCUUAGAAUUUCAAGGCCUGGUUAGAUUUAGCCACAAAAGCCACUUGGUUAGGGUUAGGAAAAGAAAAAAUAUUUUACUAAAAACACACAAUUUUGUACCCACAGUGAUGCCUGGAAAAUGUCACUCUGUUUUCCCCCCCCAAAUACUUUUUUUUUUUUGCAAUAAAGACAUCUGAAAAUUUCUCUCUAAAAA
Molecule: long non-coding RNA, 1187 nt
Organism: Acanthopagrus latus (yellowfin seabream)
Lineage: Eukaryota; Metazoa; Chordata; Actinopteri; Spariformes; Sparidae
Exons: 2
Source: RefSeq, a predicted model, not a curated record